AGGGAUCAUUAAAAAUAUAGCGAGUUUCUCGGAACUUCGCCAACCCCUUGUGAACCUGUACCUGUUUUCGUUGCUUCGGCAGGCGGCCCCGGGGAGGGGUCUCGAGCCUGUAUAGGCGUCUGCCGACAGCUAAAAAAAAUUUAAACUCUGCUGUUUUGAGUCUUCUGAGUUAACUUCAAAAAAAAAUUAAAACUUUCAACAACGGAUCUCUUGGUUUUGGCAUCGAUGAAGAACGCAGCGAAAUGCGAUAAGUAAUGUGAAUUGCAGACUCUAGUGAAUCAUCGAAUCUUUGAACGCAUAUUGUGCCCGCUGGUAUUCCGGCGGGCAUGCCUGUUCGAGCGUCAUUUCAACCCUCAAGCCCUAGUUUGCUUGGUGUUGGGGCAUGCUACGGCGGACUCCUACGUCCUACCCGUAGGCCCUAAAAGAUAGUGGCGGGCUCGUCAGCGGCUCCGAGCGUAGUAAUUUUGCUUCUCGUUCUGGAGGCCUGGCGGGUUCUUCUGGCCGUUAAGACUCUCAAUCAUCUGUCUUACAGAAGGUUUGACCUCGGAUCAGGUAGGAAUACCCGCUGAACUUAAGCAUAUCAAUAAGCGGAGGAAAAGAAACCAACAGGGAUUGCCCUAGUAACGGCGAGUGAAGCGGCAACAGCUCAAAUUUGAAAUCUGGCUUCGGCCCGAAUUGUAAUUUGCAGAGGAUGCUUUUGGUGCAGCGCCUUCUGAGUUCCCUGGAAUGGGACGCCAGAGAGGGUGAGAGCCCCGUAUAGUUGGACGCUAAGCCUUUGUAAAGCUCCUUCGACGAGUCGAGUAGUUUGGGAAUGCUGCUCAAAAUGGGAGGUAAAUUUCUUCUAAAGCUAAAUACAGGCCAAAGACCGAUAGCGCACAAGUAGAGUGAUCGAAAGAUGAAAAGCACUUUGAAAAGAGGGUUAAAAAGUACGUGAAAUUGUUGAAAGGGAAGCGCUUAUGACCAGACGUGGGUCUUGUAAAUCAUCCAGCGUUCUCGCUGGUGCACUUUGCUAGAUUCAGGCCAGCAUCGGUUUUUCCAGGGAGAUAAAGGCUUCGGGAACGUGGCUCCUCCGGGAGUGUUAUAGCCCGUCGCACAAUAUCUUUGGGGGGACCGAGGU
This 1117-nucleotide ribosomal RNA is filed under the name uncultured fungus. RNAcentral's name for it is "eukaryotic LSU rRNA". The stretch from base 539 to 1117 matches the Rfam family "Eukaryotic large subunit ribosomal RNA", at positions 1 to 592 of the family's 3401-position model. Lineage: Eukaryota; Fungi. The record is from RNAcentral.